CUCCCUAAUUCAGUCCAAGUGCAUUUACUUGGUCUCCAAGUACUACAACUUCUUCCUCACUCUACUACCAUGGUGAGCUCAAGAAUGAUGUCAAUGGCAUCACCAUAACCUUAUAAAUAAAGGAAAAUCUGCUCCCCAUUUCCACAACAAUUCAGUGAAGAUUAUCUAACAAAAAUCCCAAGACCUCUAGCUUUUUCUCUGUUUCGAAAUAAACCACCAACGCCACCUCUCGUGGCCACCAUAAACACCGCAGCUCCGCCACUGCUGCUACUUACUGCCACCACCGUCGUAACCUCCUCUCACUCACUAUACCAUGUACGCACGACCUCUAAACUCAAACAUCAAGUUCUAAUUGUAGCCCUCCGUUGCCGAAACUAAAACCCGAACUAACACCAUUUCUCUCUCCUCUGGCGCACCACCACUGUCACCAUAACGGCUUUGCUCCGGUGCCGAACCACCACCCCACCUCCAGGUUUUGACCGCCUAAUCUCCGACUACCUAAACCCCGCUUCACGCAAAGACCCCACUAUGUUUUCUUCCGUCGUGCUCCUCUGCUUCGUGUUUGUUGGUGAGAACCGUGAGACCAAAGUUGGUCUUUCUAACUCGUGGGCUUGUAAUCCAAAGUCAAACCCAUUAAAUAUUUAACCCACUCACCAAUUCUAGAAAGCUAAUUAGGGUAAGAUGACUUCCACUUGUUUUUAUUCAUUUCACUUGAUUUAUACGCAUAAGUUUUCCUACUAAUGUUUUCAAAGUACUAAUGUUUUAUUAAAAUGUAAUUAUAUUUUACUAAGAAAUAUUAUUGUCAUUAUUUUACAAAGGAGAUAAUUAAUUAAGGUUAUUUUUUCAUAGUUACUAACGGAUAAUAUAUUCCUAAAUACAAGAGUACUUGGUCCUCGAAGUUUAGGAAGAACGGUCCAUCAAACGGGAAAGAUAAAACUAUGGUUGAGGUAACAUCUAUUGCUAACUCUCACAAUCCCCUUAUGAACUGUGUUUUAUGAGAUUAUGAAAUAUGUUUAUAAUAUGAUUUUUAUUGGAUUGUGGGAUCUGAAAUGUAUUUAUAAAGUGUGUUUUAUGCAUGAUGAUAUUCAAAUAUGUUUAUGAAUGAUUUUAUAAGAAUGUUAUUUUAUGAGUUAUGAAUAAGAUACGAAACAUGAUAAAUAAAAGUGUAACAGGUCCUGGCAGUUAGUGGGGUUACUAUUUCUAGGUCGUGCACGUACCAUCGUACAGCUGGACACCCAACAAGGGAGAAUGAUGCUUGAGGGUUACCGCAAACUAAAAGAGAAACUAUUUAGGUACGAGCGUAUGUCCAACAAGGGAGAGUGCUCCUUGAGAACUAUCGCAAGGUACGAAGAAGAUCAUGGGAUGCCUUAGAGUGCGGAUGCAACCAUCAAAUUCACGAUCGAUGUUUAGUAAAGAUAACUAUGUCUCACUAGUAAUAAUGUAUGUAUUAAUUAAACUCUAAGUUUAAUUUAAAGUAUUGAGUUAGAUUUUAAUAUUAAUGUUUAACCAAUGCUAAGAAUAUUUAUUAAGGUUUAUUUAGGUUACUAUAUAAAUAUUAAAGAAUUAAUUGAAGUUAAGUAUGUUUACUGUUA
This is a long non-coding RNA of Spinacia oleracea (spinach), 1592 nucleotides long. RefSeq lists it as uncharacterized. Lineage: Eukaryota; Viridiplantae; Streptophyta; Magnoliopsida; Caryophyllales; Amaranthaceae. The transcript has 2 exons. The record is from RefSeq and is a predicted model, not a curated record.